Molecule: ribosomal RNA, 508 nt
Filed under: Bacillus subtilis
Lineage: Bacteria; Bacillati; Bacillota; Bacilli; Caryophanales; Bacillaceae
Description: bacterial SSU rRNA
Rfam family: Bacterial small subunit ribosomal RNA
Source: RNAcentral
CGAACGCUGGCGGCGUGCCUAAUACAUGCAAGUCGAGCGGACAGAUGGGAGCUUGCUCCCUGAUGUUAGCGGCGGACGGGUGAGUAACACGUGGGUAACCUGCCUGUAAGACUGGGAUAACUCCGGGAAACCGGGGCUAAUACCGGAUGCUUGUUUGAACCGCAUGGUUCAAACAUAAAAGGUGGCUUCGGCUACCACUUACAGAUGGACCCGCGGCGCAUUAGCUAGUUGGUGAGGUAAUGGCUCACCAAGGCAACGAUGCGUAGCCGACCUGAGAGGGUGAUCGGCCACACUGGGACUGAGACACGGCCCAGACUCCUACGGGAGGCAGCAGUAGGGAAUCUUCCGCAAUGGACGAAAGUCUGACGGAGCAACGCCGCGUGAGUGAUGAAGGUUUUCGGAUCGUAAAGCUCUGUUGUUAGGGAAGAACAAGUACCGUUCGAAUAGGGCGGUACCUUGACGGUACCUAACCAGAAAGCCACGGCUAACUACGUGCCAGCAGCCGCGG